CAGAAGAGAGAUAGAUUGAUUGAGUUGAUGCUGCAAAAGAUCAAAAGAUAGAGUUUGAAAUCUGAGUGUUAUAUAUGGUGAAAUCUGCUGCUGCUGCUGAAAAUCAAAAUCAUGGCAUAGCAAACACCAGAUCCAGCUACUUUGGAUUAUGAAGGCACUCCCGUCAAUUUCGGAUCCCUUAUGUAUUGACAUUCUUCAUUUACUACAAGGAAAAUCCAGGCCACCGCUCAGUUCCGUGGACUGAGCGGCUGCUAAGUCAAAGCCAAGCCAACGCUCAGUUCUGUGAACUGAGCGGACGCCAAAGGCAGACCCCUCAGUUCCGUGAACUGUAAGGCUGCUAAGGCAAAGGCAGGCAACCGUUUAGUUCCGUGAACUGAAAGGUUGCAAAGGCAGGCACCACUCGGUUCCGUGAACUGAGAGGCUGGAAAGAUGUGUGCUAAAUGAAGAAUGUCUGACUAACCAGAGCAGCUUCGGAAUAUAUACUAUAAGUGAUAGAGUUCAUGCUGCAAAAGAAUAGCA
This is a long non-coding RNA of Papaver somniferum (opium poppy), 519 nucleotides long. RefSeq lists it as uncharacterized. The transcript is spliced from 4 exons. Lineage: Eukaryota; Viridiplantae; Streptophyta; Magnoliopsida; Ranunculales; Papaveraceae. The record is from RefSeq and is a predicted model, not a curated record.